This 443-nucleotide ribosomal RNA is filed under the name uncultured bacterium. Its description in RNAcentral is "partial 16S ribosomal RNA". It matches the Rfam family "Bacterial small subunit ribosomal RNA", at positions 338 to 795 of the family's 1533-position model. The record is from RNAcentral.
CCUACGGGUGGCAGCAGUGGGGAAUAUUGGACAAUGGGCGCAAGCCUGAUCCAGCAACGCCGCGUGAAGGAAGAAGGCUUUCGGGUCGUAAACUUCUAUCAGCAGGGACGAAAGAAAUGACGGUACCUGACUAAGAAGCCCCGGCUAACUACGUGCCAGCAGCCGCGGUAAUACGUAGGGGGCAAGCGUUAUCCGGAUUUACUGGGUGUAAAGGGUGCGUAGGCGGCAAUGCAAGUCAGAUGUGAAAGCCUUGGGCUUAACCCGGGGAUUGCAUUUGAAACUGUAUAGCUGGAGUACAGGAGAGGAAAGCGGAAUUCCUAGUGUAGCGGUGAAAUGCGUAGAUAUUAGGAGGAACACCAGUGGCGAAGGCGGAUUUCUGGACUGUAACUGACGCUGAGGCUCGAAAGCGUGGGGAGCGAACAGGAUUAGAUACCCUGGUAGUC